GUCAAUUAAAGCAUUAAAGGGAUGCCUAAACAUCAAAAAAAGGACGUAAUUAAAAACGAAAUGCUAAAAUGAGUGCUUUGCAUUUAGACUUUUAGAUCUCCAUAAGGAAAACCUGUUUUAUAUAAUUGAAACUUAAUAAAUUUAGUGAAUUGAAUCAUCUUAAUAACUAAAUAAAAAAUCAACCGAGAAACCGUUAGUAGUGGCGAGCGAACGCGGUAAAGACUUUUUAAUUUAUUUUUAAUUACUUUUGAAUAAAAACACUUAGCCAUAGAAGGAAACAUAAUUUAAAUAUGCAAGCCCUGUAAAAAGUAUAAAAUAAAUUAUAGUGUAAAUUGAUACAAGUGGUGUAUUGAUUGAAAAAUGGGGACCCACCCUCAAAGUCUAAAAUUUUUGAUGCUUGAUAGUGAAUAAGUACUGUGAAGGAAAGGUUAAAAAGAAUUUGCGAAUACUGAAAGAACGCUGAAAUUUAAUGCUAACAAUCAGUUAGAGCUUUUUAAAAGUGAUAACGUACUUUUUGCAUAACGGAUCAACGAGUUUAUUUUAGUGGCGAGCUUAAGCUUUAAAGUGUAGGCGAAAAGAAAUUAAAUAUGAAAAGUGUAUUUUAGUCUCUAACAUAAGACCCGAAACUAAGUGAUCUAACCAUGAACAGGUUGAAAUUUUAAGUGUUACCACUUAUUGAAAGACCGAACCCGUGUAUGUUGAAAAAUACUGGGAUGAUUUGUGGUUAGGGGUGAAAGGCCAAUCAAACUUAGAGAUAGCUGGUUUUCUGCGAAAUCUAUUUUAGUAGAGCGUUUAUAAACUUUGUUUUAAGGUAGAGCACUUAAUAACUGAUGGGGGCACAUCGCUUUACUGAAUUUAUUAAAACUCCGAAUAUAGAAUAAAAGAUUAUAAGCAGACAGACUAUGGAUGCUAAGGUCCUUAGUCAAAAGGGAAACAGCCCAGACUAUUAGUUAAGGCCCUAAAAAAUAGUUAAGUGCGAAAGAAAGUAAAAAAAUAAUGACAACCGAUAGGUGGGCUUGGAAGCAGCCAUCCUUUAAAGAAAGCGUAACAGCUCAUUGGUUUAAUUUUUUUGCAUCGAAAAUGUAUAAGGUCUAAAACUAUUUGCCGAAACUAUAGAUUUAAAUUUUUAAAUGGUAGCAGAACGUUCUGUAUAUUUAAGAAGAAAUAUGGUAACAUAUUUUGGAAAAAUCAGAAGUGAGAAUGUUGAUAUGAGUAACGAUAAACAAUGUGUAAAACAUUGUCGCCUUAAAUUCAAGGUUUCCGAAAAAAGGCUAAUCCGUUUCGGUAAAAAUAAAUCGGUCCCUAAGAAAAAAACGAAAGUUGUAUUUAAUGGGUUUUUAAAAGUGACAAACAGUAAAUAUAAUUUUUAUUUAAUGGUUUAUAAAAGUUAUAUAACUGUUUCAAGAAAUAGCUUUUAAAUAAGAACCGUACCCUAAACCGACACAGGUGAAUGAAUUUAGUAAAUCAAGGCGCUUGAGAUAAUUAUGUUGAAGGAACUCGGCAAAAUUACUUCGUAACUUCGGAAUAAGAAGUGGCUUUUAAAGGGCAACCUUUAAAAGCUGUCACACAAUCGGGGACAGCGACUGUUUAACAAAAACACAGGUCUCUGCUAAUUCGUAAGAAGAUGUAUAGAGACUGACGCCUGCCCGGUGCUGCAAGAAUAAUAGAAAAAGUUUUGGCUUUAACUAGAAAUCCCAGUAAACGGCGGCCGUAACUCUGACGGUCCUAAGGUAGCGAAAUUCCUUGGCAUUUAAUUGGUGUCCUGCAUGAAUGGCGUAACGACUGUCCCACUGUCUCCAACAUAAUCUCAGUGAAAUUGAAAUCUCCGUGAAGAUGCGGAGUACUUGCGGCUAGACGGAAAGACCCCGUGCACCUUUACUAUAAUUAUACAUUGUAAUAAAAGAUUAUAUGUAUAGUAUAUGUGGGAAUCGUUAAAAAAUAUUUACACAAGUAAAUUAUUUAGAUGUCAAUGAAAUACCACUCUUAUAAUCUCUUCUAUUACUAAUUCUUGUUAAAACAUUGUAUAAUGGGUAGUUUGACUGGGGCGGUCGCCUCCUAAAG
This 2061-nucleotide ribosomal RNA is filed under the name Striatella unipunctata. RNAcentral's name for it is "partial Bacterial large subunit ribosomal RNA". It matches the Rfam family "Bacterial large subunit ribosomal RNA", at positions 1 to 2295 of the family's 2925-position model. Lineage: Eukaryota; Bacillariophyta; Striatellaphyceae; Striatellales; Striatellaceae. The record is from RNAcentral.